This 377-nucleotide long non-coding RNA is filed under the name Rattus norvegicus (Norway rat). RNAcentral's name for it is "long non-coding RNA NONRATT029994". Lineage: Eukaryota; Metazoa; Chordata; Mammalia; Rodentia; Muridae. The record is from RNAcentral.
CUCUAUUCCAGCCACCCUUCUAGACUUCAGAGCACAGAAAACCUGCUUCCCAUGUCUCCAGAGGAGUUUGACGAGAUGUCCAAGAUAGUGGGCUCUGAAUUUGACAGUAUGAUGAGCGCAGUAUAAACACGAAUUUCUCUCUUCUCUGGCGACAUUUUUCUUCCCAUCUGUGAUUCCUUCCUGCUACUGUUCCUUCAUAUGCUGUAUUUCUAGGGAAAUCAAGAAAGAACAGCCCAUUUGUUGAACCCUGUUGAUAGCAAGUGGAUAUUUCUCUAAUUAGAAACCUGUUACUCUGAAGGACUUCAUGCAGCUCACUGAAGGUGAAAUGGAAAGUUACUUAUGCAAAGUGGAUUUUGUAAACAAAAAACAAGAGAGCC